This 252-nucleotide ribosomal RNA is filed under the name uncultured bacterium. RNAcentral's name for it is "partial 16S ribosomal RNA". It matches the Rfam family "Bacterial small subunit ribosomal RNA", at positions 524 to 776 of the family's 1533-position model. The record is from RNAcentral.
UACGUAGGUGGCAAGCGUUGUCCGGAAUUAUUGGGCGUAAAGCGCGCGCAGGCGGUUAUGUAAGUCUGAUGUUAAAGCCCGGGGCUCAACCUCGGUUCGCAUUGGAAACUGUGUAACUUGAGUGCAGAAGAGGAAAGUGGUAUUCCACGUGUAGCGGUGAAAUGCGUAGAGAUGUGGAGGAACACCAGUGGCGAAGGUGACUUUCGGGUCUGUAACUGACGCUGAGGCGCGAAAGCGUGGGGAGCAAACAGG